CCUACGGGUGGCAGCAGUGAGGAAUAUUGGUCAAUGGGCUGAAGCCUGAACCAGCCAAGUCGCGUGCAGGAUGACGGCUCUAUGGGUUGUAAACUUCUUUUGUACGGGAAUAAUGAUUCUUACGUGUAGGGCUUUGAAUGUAUCGUACGAAUAAGGAUCGGCUAACUCCGUGCCAGCAGCCGCGGUAAUACGGAGGAUGCGAGCGUUAUCCGGAUUUAUUGGGUUUAAAGGGUGCGUAGGCUGGAGGAUAAGUUAGAGGUCAAAUGUCGGGGCUUAACCCCGUGCCUGCCGCGGAUACUGGUGGACUAGAGAGCGCAGGAAGCAGGCGGAAUGAGUAGUGUAGCGGUGAAAUGCUUAGAUAUUACGCAGAACACCGAUUGCGAAGGCAGCUUGCUAAUGCGAAACUGACGCUGAUGCACGAAAGCGUGGGGAGCGAACAGGAUUAGAUACCCGGGUAGUC
This 460-nucleotide ribosomal RNA is filed under the name uncultured bacterium. RNAcentral describes it as "partial 16S ribosomal RNA". It matches the Rfam family "Bacterial small subunit ribosomal RNA", at positions 338 to 795 of the family's 1533-position model. The record is from RNAcentral.